AGUGAACGCUGGCGGUAGGCCUAACACAUGCAAGUCGAACGGCAGCACAGUAAGAGCUUGCUCUUACGGGUGGCGAGUGGCGGACGGGUGAGGAAUACAUCGGAAUCUACUUUUUCGUGGAGGAUAACGUGGGGAAACUUACGCUAAUACCGCAUACGACCUACGGGUGAAAGCGGGGGAUCUUCGGACCUUGCGCGAUUGAAUGAGCCGAUGUCGGAUUAGCUAGUUGGCGGGGUAAAGGCCCACCAAGGCGACGAUCCGUAGCUGGUCUGAGAGGAUGAUCAGCCACACUGGAACUGAGACACGGUCCAGACUCCUACGGGAGGCAGCAGUGGGGAAUAUUGGACAAUGGGCGCAAGCCUGAUCCAGCCAUACCGCGUGGGUGAAGAAGGCCUUCGGGUUGUAAAGCCCUUUUGUUGGGAAAGAAAAGCAGCAGGUUAAUACCCCGCUGUUCUGACGGUACCCAAAGAAUAAGCACCGGCUAACUUCGUG
RNAcentral lists this ribosomal RNA (492 nucleotides) under uncultured bacterium. RNAcentral describes it as "partial 16S ribosomal RNA". It matches the Rfam family "Bacterial small subunit ribosomal RNA", at positions 29 to 507 of the family's 1533-position model. The record is from RNAcentral.